UACAGAGGGUGCGAGCGUUGUUCGGAAUUAUUGGGCGUAAAGGGCGCGUAGGCGGCCUGGCAAGUGGAAGGUGAAAUCCCUCGGCUUAACCGAGGAACUGCCCUCCAAACUGCUUGGCUUGAGUCCGGGAGAGGUGAGUGGAACUGCGAGUGUAGAGGUGAAAUUCGUAGAUAUUCGCAAGAACACCAGUGGCGAAGGCGGCUCACUGGCCCGGUACUGACGCUGAGGUGCGAAAGCGUGGGGAGCAAACAGG
RNAcentral lists this ribosomal RNA (253 nucleotides) under uncultured bacterium. RNAcentral describes it as "partial 16S ribosomal RNA". It matches the Rfam family "Bacterial small subunit ribosomal RNA", at positions 524 to 776 of the family's 1533-position model. The record is from RNAcentral.